Molecule: ribosomal RNA, 496 nt
Filed under: uncultured bacterium
Lineage: Bacteria
Description: partial 16S ribosomal RNA
Rfam family: Bacterial small subunit ribosomal RNA
Source: RNAcentral
GAUGAACGCUGGCGGCGUGCCUAACACAUGCAAGUCGAGCGAACAGACCAGGCUUUUGCUCCUCUGACGUUAGCGGCGGACGGGUGAGUCACACGUGGACAACCUACCUAUCAGACUGGGAUAUUUUCGGGAAACCGGCGCUAAUACCGGAUAAUAUAUUGAACCGCAUGGUUCAAUAGUGAAAUACGGUUUUUCUGUCACUUAUAGAUGGAUCCGCUCCGCAUUAGCUGGUUGGUAAGGUAACGGCUUACCAAGGCGACGAUGCGUAGCCGACGUGAGAGGGUGAUCGGCCACUCAGGAACUGAGAGGCGGUCCAGAGACGGACGGGAGGCAGCGGUAGGGAAGCUACGGAAAUGGGCGGAAGCCUGACGGAGCAGCGGCGGGUGAGUGAAGAAAGGCUUCGGAUCGUAAGACUGUGUUAUGGGGGAAGAACAAAUGUGUAAGUAACUAAGCGCGAGUGAAGGGAACCGAAGAAGAAGGCCAGGCCAAACUAGGU